GUUCCUCGAGGAUGCUUUCAUCAGUGGAGGGUGCCGUAGUACUCUGCUCCUUCGAUCUCCAUGAGAAUCUAUGCACGAAAAGCAGAGAGAGGAGUAUAGGAGUCAUACCUGCUGUAGUUGGGCUUCGAACUCCGUCGUUGGGGUGAAGCUCGCUUAUUGGAAGGUGGCCGACUUGAUUCGACCGGAGCUUCACUCUUCUUCUAUUUUUUCUUCUGAUCUUUACCUUCUGUCUGACGUCAGUCAAAAGUAGUCUCAUCUGCACAUAUGUACUUGUAUGUGCAUUCGAGAAGUUCAGCAUAGGUCUGAGGG
This 309-nucleotide long non-coding RNA is filed under the name Elaeis guineensis (African oil palm). Its description in RNAcentral is "long non-coding RNA (EGUI_LNC027642)". Lineage: Eukaryota; Viridiplantae; Streptophyta; Magnoliopsida; Arecales; Arecaceae. The record is from RNAcentral.